RNAcentral lists this ribosomal RNA (253 nucleotides) under uncultured bacterium. Its description in RNAcentral is "partial 16S ribosomal RNA". It matches the Rfam family "Bacterial small subunit ribosomal RNA", at positions 524 to 776 of the family's 1533-position model. The record is from RNAcentral.
UACGUAGGGUGCGAGCGUUGUCCGGAAUUAUUGGGCGUAAAGGGCGCGUAGGCGGCUUGAUAAGCGUGCGGUGAAAGCCCGGGGCUCAACCCCGGGUCGGCCGUGCGAACUGUCGAGCUGGAGCACUGUAGAGGCAGGUGGAAUUCCGGGUGUAGCGGUGGAAUGCGUAGAGAUCCGGAAGAACACCGGUGGCGAAGGCGGCCUGCUGGGCAGUGGCUGACGCUGAGGCGCGACAGCGUGGGGAGCAAACAGG